AACGAACGCUGGCGGCAUGCCUAACACAUGCAAGUCGAACGAAGGCUUCGGCCUUAGUGGCGCACGGGUGCGUAACGCGUGGGAAUCUGCCCUUUGGUUCGGAAUAACAGCUGGAAAUGGCUGCUAAUACCGGAUGAUUACGAAAGUCCAAAGAUUUAUCGCCAGAGGAUGAGCCCGCGUUGUAUUAGGUUGUUGGUGGGGUAAAGGCCUACCAAGCCGAGGAUCCAUAGCUGGUCUGAGAGGAAGGGCAGCCACACUGGGACUAAGACCCGGUCGAGAAUACUACGGGAUGCAGGAGAGGGGGAUAUUGGAAAAUGGGGGCAAGGAUGAACGAGCAAGGGCGCGUGAGUGAUGAAGGCGGUAGAGAAGUAAAGCUGUUUUACCCGGGAAGAUAAUGACGGUACCGGGAGAAUAAGCACCGGCUAACUCCGUG
RNAcentral lists this ribosomal RNA (433 nucleotides) under uncultured bacterium. Its description in RNAcentral is "partial 16S ribosomal RNA". It matches the Rfam family "Bacterial small subunit ribosomal RNA", at positions 29 to 507 of the family's 1533-position model. The record is from RNAcentral.